AGACGGGUGAGUAACGCGUGGGAAUCUACCGAGCCCUAAGGAAUAACUCCGGGAAACUGGAACUAAUACCUUAUACGCCCUACGGGGGAAAGAUUUAUCGGGGUUUGAUGAGCCCGCGUUGGAUUAGCUAGUUGGUGGGGUAAAGGCCUACCAAGGCGACGAUCCAUAGCUGGUCUGAGAGGAUGAUCAGCCACAUUGGGACUGAGACACGGCCCAAACUCCUACGGGAGGCAGCAGUGGGGAAUAUUGGACAAUGGGCGCAAGCCUGAUCCAGCCAUGCCGCGUGAGUGAAGAAGGUCUUAGGAUUGUAAAGCUCUUUCACCGAUGAAGAUAAUGACUGUAGUCGGAGAAGAAGCCCCGGCUAACUUCGUGCCAGCAGCCGCGGUAAUACGAAGGGGGCUAGCGUUGUUCGGAAUUACUGGGCGUAAAGCGCACGUAGGCGGAUAUUUAAGUCAGGGGUGAAAUCCCGCAGCUCAACUGCGGAACUGCCUUUGAUACUGGGUAUCUUGAGUAUGGAAGAGGUAAGUGGAAUUGCGAGUGUAGAGGUGAAAUUCGUAGAUAUUCGCAGGAACACCAGUGGCGAAGGCGGCUUACUGGUCCAUUACUGACGC
This 611-nucleotide ribosomal RNA is filed under the name Rhizobium sp. RNAcentral's name for it is "bacterial SSU rRNA". It matches the Rfam family "Bacterial small subunit ribosomal RNA", at positions 100 to 746 of the family's 1533-position model. Lineage: Bacteria; Pseudomonadati; Pseudomonadota; Alphaproteobacteria; Hyphomicrobiales; Rhizobiaceae. The record is from RNAcentral.